AGGUUGUCAAGCUACCAAGCCAGAAGCAAUAUUCCAGUUGGGGAAAGAAGAACAAGGAAUAGUAGAGAGAGAAUUCCCAAGUUGGUGCAGUCCAGCACGAUGGAAUUUAGUCGCCAGAAAAUGGCCAUCUCGCUAUCUGUAAGAAGCAUCUUCCAAGACUGCUGCUUCCAUGUGCACGCCUGGUUUCAAAGUCUGUAGACAUCUUGUGUUCCGCGAAGGUGCUACUGAGUCUGCACAAGAGCGUGACUACGGCAGUGAGUGAAGAGGUUACGGAAACCUGCUAGUCCUCAAGCGAAUGUUUGUGCGACUCCAGCUGUAGGGGGCUUCUUGAAAGUGACCACAGAA
This 345-nucleotide long non-coding RNA is filed under the name Homo sapiens (human). RNAcentral's name for it is "non-protein coding lnc-FPR1-2:3". Lineage: Eukaryota; Metazoa; Chordata; Mammalia; Primates; Hominidae. The record is from RNAcentral.